ACUUUUUUAAACUCCCCCAGACUGGGCAUCAUCUUCAGACUCUUCAUCCCCUGAUUUCUUAGGUGGAGAGUCUGCAGAGGUUUUCUUUCUGGAGGGUUUUCUGGUUCCUCCUCUUCUUCUUUGGGAGGAUGAGUCUUUUCCUUUGAUGCCUCUGAAGCUGUGAGAUGACCUACUUUCCGUUUGCCUGUCACAAGGCCUAGUGUCCCUGCAGCCUUUAGUCUUGGUUUGGGCAUUUUCUUUUCUUUUUUCUCAGGUUUGGGCUUCUUUUUUUUUUUUUUUUUUUCUUUUUUAGGUUUGGACUUCUUAACCAUCUUUUUGUUUUCCUUUUUCAAGCUGCCAUAGUCAGUGCCAUAAUCAUCUUCCAUUAGGAAAUCAUAAUUGCUGCUAGAAUCUUUCUCCUGGAAUUGUGCCCCAUCCUCCUCUUGUUCUUCACUGCCCACAUCUUCCAUGAGCAUCUCUCUCUGUUUGGAAGCUGCUUUAGAGGCUGCCUGCCCUUUCUUGCACACAUUCUUAUGGGCUUCUUUUUCAUCAUCCCUGGCCUCUGCUGAGUGAGAAUCAUCCUUGGUCUUCACAUCUUUUUAUUCUGAGUCUUCACUAUCCUCCUGUGAAUUCUUUCCUAUCACCUCUUAUUUUUAGCUUCUCCAGGAAAUGACUGAAUUUUCUUAGCUGUAAGGCCUAAAUCUCUUCCAUAAACCUUCUCAGUAUCAUUAAAUCCCUGGCACCAAAUAAUCAAUGACCUUUCUAUUUCUCACAGGCAGAGACAUUUUCUCUGUUGAAACAGGAUUGAGUCAAGAAGCCAAAGACCAGGCCUGUCACCCACCCCUACACGCAGUCAGCACAUCGCCUUUCAACUUUGGUCCAUGGAGCUGCUGCUGCCAAACCCCAACCUGCUGGCUUCUCAAAUUCUGCCACUUCUUGGAUCAGGGCCCCUUAAUCAGGCAUCAUUUCAAGGCUGAGAAUGAGGUUCCAAGGUUGAAGAGUCAAAUAUUGGUUCUCUGUGGGUACAUGAAAUGAGUUUUUCUUCCCUACCCUGUCUUUUCGUUAUGUCUGUAUCAGUGUCCUGUUGCAGAGAAAAGAAUCUACUCUAGUCAAUAUAACCAGAAGGGAUUUACUUGAGAAUGUUAAAUGCCACACAAGAUCAUUAGGAGUGUUGAAGACCCUGACUCUUGAUGAGGUUUUCAGGAAUCAUUCAGAAAGCUACACUGCAGAACUGGGCUGUCCUUGCCACUGUCCAGAAGCUGUAAGAGCAGGAAACUGCAUAUGACAUCAAGAGGAUNUUAAGGGAGCUGCUGUCCCUGCCACUGUCCAGAAGCUGUAAGAGCAGGAAACUGCAUAUGACAUCAAGAGGAUGAUGCUACAACAUCUGCCAGCUCCAGGGCGACACUACAUCUGCCAAUAGCUGCACCAGUAAAAUGGACUUCUGGUAUCCUGAUUCCCUAGCCAUAUGACUUAGUUUGAAAUAAAAAUUUUGUCCUAGUUCA
This 1481-nucleotide long non-coding RNA is filed under the name Vulpes vulpes (red fox). RNAcentral's name for it is "lncRNA (ENSVVUG00000023896.1)". The record is from RNAcentral. Lineage: Eukaryota; Metazoa; Chordata; Mammalia; Carnivora; Canidae.